RNAcentral lists this ribosomal RNA (253 nucleotides) under uncultured bacterium. RNAcentral's name for it is "partial 16S ribosomal RNA". It matches the Rfam family "Bacterial small subunit ribosomal RNA", at positions 524 to 776 of the family's 1533-position model. The record is from RNAcentral.
GACGGGGGAUGCGAGCGUUAUCCGGAAUGAUUGGGCGUAAAGGGUCCGCAGGUGGCCCGGUCAGUCCGCUGUCAAAGCCUGGGGCUCAACCCUGGAGAGGCGGCGGAGACCACCGGGCUUGAGUCCGGUAGGGGCAGAGGGAAUUCCCGGUGGAGCGGUGAAAUGCGUAGAGAUCGUAAGGAAGGCCAGUGGCGAAGGCGAGUUCCUGGACAGUUACUGACGCUGAGGCACGAAGGCCAGGGGAGCAAACGGG